Molecule: long non-coding RNA, 2877 nt
Organism: Equus asinus (donkey)
Lineage: Eukaryota; Metazoa; Chordata; Mammalia; Perissodactyla; Equidae
Source: Ensembl
AUGGCCUUAGGCUGCUAGAAGCCAUGUUAAAAUUUGGUUAAGUCUCUUAGUGCAGGGGUUUGAAUGGAGUGUUCACGCUGAGGGGUUUUGCAGUUCUCAGUUCCCACAUUAUGAAUCCCACCUCCUUAAUAGAGGAGUCCAAACUCACAUCUCCAGAUUCUCUUGCAGCUAGAGUGCAGGUGUUUGACCAAGUUUCUACUAUAUUCUUGGAUGGAUAAGUGAGAAACAUGAGACGGAGGCUAGGCUCAGGGAAAAUGAUCUUCAGGAAUUCGUUUUAACUGUAUUUCAUGGAAGUGUUAUUCUGCACUCCAUUAGAAGUAAAAUAAAACACACUGCCUCUAGUUUGAGGAGGAAGAAGAAGACCAGAAGCAGAGCUGUGAACUUCAGUGAGGGGUGCAGCCAGCCUGAGGACAUCUCCUAAGGGAGGAAGCCAGAGACAAACACCAGGACCUCACUCCCCACCUUCCAGUCUCCUAUUGGGGCCUCUCCCAUUGGCCCCAACCAGAAGCCAGAGGGCAAGGAACCCUGCAGAAACAGUUCUUCCAGUCUUGAUUUAAAGAACCCUUCCAGGUAUUACUGCAGAUUGAAGCCUGAACCAGACUGACCCCCUUCUGGCAAUUUCAGUCAAAAUUCUGGCUCCCAGAAGAGGCAAACAAGGCCUCUCUCUCCCUAUCCUUUGAGCUGCUACUGCCAAUGUUGGCAAAGCCUUCCAUGGAGGAAAAAGCAUCCUUCUCAUCUUUUAUGAAGUUUCUCUGUCAUCUCGCCAAGCCAGGCCCCUGAUCAACACCACCACCAGAUUUGGGGUUGAUGUAACCCAUCAUGUCACACAGCAGGGACGUCUCCCCCCCAAGACUGUCUUGUCAACAUGGAGCAGGUUCCCUUCAUAGCCUGAGAUGAUUCCCCUCCUUAACCCCCUACCCCACCCAACUCCAACCCCCACAAGUGGCCAGAGCAUAAUUUCUCUGAGAAAAUCUACAAACUACAAAUUGUUGGACAAAUGAAAUGGAGAUGAAAUUGUGGAAACAGGAAGUCGCUGGAAGAUGAGUCUCAGCAAGAUGAGAGGGGAAACCACGGAAAAAGAAGAUAUGAGGUCCAGGAAGCAGGAGAUCCACGCCAAAGAAGCAUGCAGGAAAUUCAUGAUAUGAUGGUGCAGGGAAAUUCCGUGGUGACAGCUGUGCCACAGGCUGAGGGAGCAGCUGAUGCAAUUUGGAACGGGAGGUUGGAGGGUAAGCGAGGGAGGCCUCCAGGAAAAUAAUGAGACUGAUAGAUUGAUUAUCUGCUGUAUCUUAGUGUUUGGAUAAUUAUUGCAAAGCGUUUGAUAUGAUCCAUCAGUUGAAGCAUGUGGAAAAAAAGUAGUAAUAGGUAUAAAGAAAGCUAAGUACAUGAAGACAGGGAAAAAACCAGAGGUAAUUAUUAACUCCAGGGGAAAACAUAAUUAAAGAAAGGAAACAAUAACUUCAGUGCAGUACUUGCACAGAAUAUUUAGGUAGCAGCAAGAAUGCAAAUGUUGUUAUUUUCAUAAGACUGUGAUCUAACCAAAUUGGUUAGGAUGGAGGCAAGAAAAUUGCUAAGACCGUAAGGGAAGUAGGUUCUCCCUUAUGAUACACCAGGAAGUAAAAAAAUAUGGAAAAAGCCAAAUCAAGAUAUAGCAAAACAAAAAUAUUAUUUAGAAAUAUGUCUAUAAAUACCAGAGGAAACAGCAAAACGAGUUUAAAGUGAUGCCUCUGGGAAUUAGAACUUGAAGGUGAGAAGGAGAAAGGUGGAGGAAAUGCUUCUUGAUAUAAGCCUCUUAUUACAUUUGAUUUUUUAAACUUUGUAUGUAUUACUUUGAUUAGAAUUAAAUAUGUUAAACAAAAAACAAUUGCAAAAACUAAAGAAAAUCACUAAUUCAGUCCAGACCAGCCUUUUACAGAGGUCACUGAAGUUCAGAGAGGUGAAUGGACUUGCCCAAGCUUACACAGCAAGUAACCAGCAUAAUUUGUCCUAAAGUCCAAAGCCAUGCUGUUUUGUGUUACCUCCAGGCCCUGCAGGCUGUCCCUCCAGGGCUCUGCCUUGGGAAUUGAUAUUGGCAGCAAAGGGAACACGAGGGAACCUGAGCAGAGCUCUCCAUUUAGAUUGACACACUGUUCCAGGGAUUUGGGGAGAAACAGGAUUAGCUCCAAGAGUAUUCACCCCUCUGCCUCUUUUCUCCUUCCCCAUCCUAUCUCAUGACCAACCUCAGCUAAAAGGUCUGAGAAGAAAAGGGAAUCUGGGAAGAUUCUCACUAAGCUGUAAAUGACUGAUAUUCACUCUCACCGUGAUUUUGAUUUUAUCAAGGCGUAAAUCCAAAACAGUUUGAUGGACAGGAUACCAAGCAGUAGAAUGAAGACAGAUGGGGGAAACCACCUCGGGGCAGGAAGGAAUUUGGGGGUUCUUGGGACCCCAGUCAUUUUACAAAGAACAUCUUAGAAAAUGUCCAACACAAUGGGUUUCUUUUCUCUACUACCCAGGACCCACAGGGGCCCAAGUUCUGACAGAUUUUGUUUAUCAAACAAACUGCACUCAUGGUCAUGCUUCAUUCGUUUUCUAGGAGAUGGCCCCUGUUACACAGAGUAACAUUUUUGUUGAGAUAAUUCCACCCCUAAGGAAAGACACUCCAUGUUUUAUUUGCAAUACAGCCUUAUUAUGGAUCAAUAUUAGAUUUCCAUGGGGCACUUUGCAUUUUGCAAAUAUUGCUCAUCAGUCACCCAGAAAGAGUACUAGACUUUUGCAUUCAAAUUCCAACUGAGGGCCCAUGAGCAAGUCAUAAGCCCACUCUGAUCCUAUAUCCCUGUCAUAGAAUCACUUACUUCCCACCAUUUGCAAGGCUGGAGAUAACAUAUGUAAAGUGCCCACUCU